GACGUAGGGCGCGAGCGUUGUCCGGAUUUAUUGGGCGUAAAGAGCUCGUAGGCGGCUUGUCGCGUCGUCCGUGAAAACCCGGGGCUCAACUCCGGGCUUGCGGGCGAUACGGGCAGGCUAGAGUUCGGUAGGGGAGACUGGGAUUCCUGGUGUAGCGGUGAAAUGCGCAGAUAUCAAGUGGAACACCAGUGGCGAAGGCGAGUCUCUGGACAUUUCCUGACGCUGAGGCACGAAAGCCAGGGGAGCAAACGGG
This 253-nucleotide ribosomal RNA is filed under the name uncultured bacterium. RNAcentral describes it as "partial 16S ribosomal RNA". It matches the Rfam family "Bacterial small subunit ribosomal RNA", at positions 524 to 776 of the family's 1533-position model. The record is from RNAcentral.